This 1361-nucleotide ribosomal RNA is filed under the name Longitarsus sp. NLG-2014. RNAcentral's name for it is "partial 16S ribosomal RNA". Lineage: Eukaryota; Metazoa; Arthropoda; Insecta; Coleoptera; Chrysomelidae. The record is from RNAcentral.
AUCUUGAAAAUUAAAAAUUUUGGCGGUAUUUUAAUCUAUUCAGAGGAACCUGUUCUAUAAAUGAUAAUCCACGAUUUAAUUUACUUUUAUUAUUAAUUUAUAUAUCGUCGUUAUUUAAAUAUUUUUAAAAAAUUAUAAUAUUUAAAAUUUUUUAUAAAAAAAUAUUUCAGAUCAAGGUAUAGUUUAUAUAAAAGUAGAAAUGGGUUACAAUAAAUAUAUUUUAGAAUUUUUAUUUUUAAAAUUUUAUGAAUUUGGAUUUGAUAGUAAUUUUAAUUAAUUUAUUAAAAUGAUUUUAGUACUAAAAUAUGUACAUAUUGCCCGUCGCUUUCAUUUAAUAUGGAAUAAGUCGUAACAAAGUAGAUUAACUGGAAAGUGAAUCUAGAAACAAAUUAGAGCUUGAGAUAAGCAUUUUAGUUACAUUAAAAAGUUAAUUGGCAAUCAAUUUAAUUUGAAAUAAAAAAUUUAUUAUAUAUAAUAAUUUAUUUAAGUUAAAAAAAAUAAUUUUAAUUUUAUUAUUAUAAUUAGAAAUAAUUAAUUAUAAUUAUAGUUUAUUGUAUUGUGAAAGAAUAUUUUUUAUUGAAUUAAAGAAAAAUUUAUUUUUUGUACCUUGUGUAUCAGGGUUUAUUAAAAUUUUAUAAAAAUUUAUUAUUCUCGAAUUUAAAAGAGCUAAAAAAUUAUAAUUAUUAAUGUUGAAUAAUUAUAUUAAAUAAUUUUUUAGUAGUGAAAUGUUAUUCGUUUUUAAAUAUAUCUAGUUUUUUAAGAAAAAAAUUUAAUUUUUUUACUAUUAAUAUAAUUUUUGAUUUUUUAAUGUUAUAUUUGUAGUAAUUAAUAUUUUUAGGGAUUAGCUUAAAAAUAAAGGUUUAUUAAAAUAAAAAUAAUUAAUUUUUUAGGAUUAGAAAUUUUCAUAAUUUAAAGUAUGUUAUAAUUUAAUUUAAUAAAUUAAGAUUUUUAUAAUUUAUAAAUUUAUAUAUUAAAAUAUAAUUUUUAAUUUAAUAAAUUUAGUAAAAAUGAUGAAAUUAGUAUAAUUUUUUUAUAAUAAUAAAAUUAAAAUUUAGGUUAAUUAAAGGAAUUCGGCAAAAUAAUUUUCACCUGUUUAAUAAAAACAUGUCUUUUUGGUAUUAAUUUAAGGUUUAACCUGCCCAAUGAAAAAUUAAAUGGCCGCAGUAUUUUGACUGUGCUAAGGUAGCAUAAUCAUUAGUUUUUUAAUUAAAAGCUGGAAUGAAGGGUUGGAUGAGAAAUUAACUGUCUCUAAUUUAUUUAAUUAGAAUUUUAUUUUUAAGUUAAAAAGCUUAAAUUUAUUUAAAAGACGAGAAGACCCUAUAGAGUUUAAUAUCUUUAAUUUAUUAAUAUUUAGAAUUUAA